UGGGGAAUAUUGGACAAUGGGGGAAACCCUGAUCCAGCAAUGCCGCGUGAGUGAAGAAGGCCUUAGGGUUGUAAAGCUCUUUCGCCCGCGAAGAUAAUGACGGUAGCGGGAGAAGAAGCCCCGGCUACCUCCGUGCCAGCAGCCGCGGUAAUACGGAGGGGGCUAGCGUUGUUCGGAAUUACUGGGCGUAAAGCGUACGUAGGCGGAUGCGCAAGUUGGGGGUGAAAUCCCGGGGCUUAACCUCGGAAUUGCCCUCAAAACUGCACGUCUUGAGACCGAGAGAGGUAAGGGGAAUUCCUAGUGUAGAGGUGAAAUUCGUAGAUAUUAGGAAGAACACCCGUGGCGAAGGCGCCUUACUGGCUCGGUACUGACGCUGAGGUACGAAAGCGUGGGGAGCAAACA
RNAcentral lists this ribosomal RNA (402 nucleotides) under uncultured bacterium. RNAcentral describes it as "bacterial SSU rRNA". It matches the Rfam family "Bacterial small subunit ribosomal RNA", at positions 355 to 774 of the family's 1533-position model. The record is from RNAcentral.